Molecule: ribosomal RNA, 520 nt
Filed under: uncultured Gigaspora
Lineage: Eukaryota; Fungi; Glomeromycota; Glomeromycetes; Diversisporales; Gigasporaceae
Description: SSU rRNA
Rfam family: Eukaryotic small subunit ribosomal RNA
Source: RNAcentral
AGCAGCCGCGGUAAUUCCAGCUCCAAUAGCGUAUAUUAAAGUUGUUGCAGUUAAAAAGCUCGUAGUUGAAUUUCGGGGUUCUUCCGUUGGUCGGGCUAUCCAGUCUGUACUAGCGUGUAGAAUUCCUACCUUCUGGGGAACCAUCAUGUUAUUAAUUUAGCGUGGUGGGAAACCAGAACCUUUACCUUGAAAAAUUAGAGUGUUCAAAGCAGGCUUACGUCUGGAUACAUUAGCAUGGAAUAAUAGAAUAGGACGGUGGUCCUGUUUUGUUGGUUUCUGAAUCACCGUAAUGAUUAAUAGGGAUAGUUGGGGGCAUUAGUAUUCAAUUGUCAGAGGUGAAAUUCUUGGAUUUAUUGAAGACUAACUUCUGCGAAAGCAUUUGCCAAGGAUGUUUUCAUUAAUCAAGAACGAAAGUUAGGGGAUCGAAGACGAUCAGAUACCGUCGUAGUCUUAACCAUAAACUAUGCCGACUAGGGAUCGGACGAUGUUAAAUUUUAUUGACUCGUUCGGCGCCUUACGG